This 603-nucleotide ribosomal RNA is filed under the name uncultured fungus. RNAcentral's name for it is "eukaryotic LSU rRNA". It matches the Rfam family "Eukaryotic large subunit ribosomal RNA", at positions 23 to 641 of the family's 3401-position model. The record is from RNAcentral. Lineage: Eukaryota; Fungi.
ACCCGCUGAACUUAAGCAUAUCAAUAAGCGGAGGAAAAGAAACCAACAGGGAUUGCCUUAGUAACGGCGAGUGAAGCGGCAACAGCUCAAAUUUGAAAUCUGGCCUCUUUGGGGUCCGAGUUGUAAUUUGCAGAGGGCGCUUUGGCGUUGGCAGCGGUUCAAGUUCCUUGGAACAGGACGUCACAGAGGGCGAGAAUCCCGUACGUGGUCGCUAGCCUUCGCCGUGUAAAGCCCCUUCGACGAGUCGAGUUGUUUGGGAAUGCAGCUCUAAAUGGGAGGUAAAUUUCUUCUAAAGCUAAAUACUGGCCAGAGACCGAUAGCGCACAAGUAGAGUGAUCGAAAGAUGAAAAGCACUUUGGAAAGAGAGUCAAACAGCACGUGAAAUUGUUGAAAGGGAAGCGCUUGCAGCCAGACUUGCCUGUAGUUGCUCAUCCGGGCUUUUGCCCGGUGCACUCUUCUGCGGGCAGGCCAGCAUCAGUUUGGGCGGUUGGAUAAAGGUCUCUGUCAUGUACCUCUCUUCGGGGAGGCCUUAUAGGGGAGACGACAUGCAACCAGCCCAGACUGAGGUCCGCGCAUUUGCUAGGAUGCUGGCGUAAUGGCUGU